CGGGGGAGGGGGGAUCCUGGGCUGUGUCCCGGCGCCCUGUGCUCCGGAGCCUGCGCUGGUGGAUUCGCGCUCCCGCCCCACAGCCCCCU
Molecule: microRNA precursor, 89 nt
Filed under: Canis lupus dingo (dingo)
Lineage: Eukaryota; Metazoa; Chordata; Mammalia; Carnivora; Canidae
Description: mir-8799 microRNA precursor family
Rfam family: mir-8799 microRNA precursor family
Source: Rfam by way of RNAcentral